CCUACGGGGGGCUGCAGUGGGGAAUAUUGGACAAUGGGGGCAACCCUGAUCCAGCCAUGCCGCGUGUGUGAAGAAGGCCCUCGGGUUGUAAAGCACUUUCAGUGAGGAAGAACGCCUGUUGGUUAAUACCCAUCAGGAAAGACAUCACUCACAGAAGAAGCACCGGCUAACUCCGUGCCAGCAGCCGCGGUAAUACGGAGGGUGCGAGCGUUAAUCGGAAUUACUGGGCGUAAAGCGCGCGUAGGUGGCUUGAUAAGCCGGUUGUGAAAGCCCCGGGCUCAACCUGGGAACGGCAUCCGGAACUGUCUAGCUAGAGUGCAGGAGAGGAAGGUAGAAUUCCCGGUGUAGCGGUGAAAUGCGUAGAGAUCGGGAGGAAUACCAGUGGCGAAGGCGGCCUUCUGGACUGACACUGACACUGAGGUGCGAAAGCGUGGGUAGCAAACAGGAUUAGAUACCCUGGUAGUC
RNAcentral lists this ribosomal RNA (465 nucleotides) under Vreelandella stevensii. Its description in RNAcentral is "partial 16S ribosomal RNA". It matches the Rfam family "Bacterial small subunit ribosomal RNA", at positions 338 to 795 of the family's 1533-position model. The record is from RNAcentral. Lineage: Bacteria; Pseudomonadati; Pseudomonadota; Gammaproteobacteria; Oceanospirillales; Halomonadaceae.